RNAcentral lists this transfer RNA (65 nucleotides) under Dipodomys ordii (Ord's kangaroo rat). It matches the Rfam family "tRNA". From Rfam's summary of the family: Transfer RNA (tRNA) molecules are approximately 80 nucleotides in length. Lineage: Eukaryota; Metazoa; Chordata; Mammalia; Rodentia; Heteromyidae. The record is from Rfam by way of RNAcentral.
GGUGGCUCAGUGGUAGGGCGCUUGCCUUGCAUGCAUGAAGCCCUGGGUUCGAUUCCUCAGCACCA